GAUGAACGCUGGCGGCGUGCCUAAUACAUGCAAGUCGAGCGAACAGACGAGGAGCUUGCUCCUCUGACGUUAGCGGCGGACGGGUGAGUAACACGUGGAUAACCUACCUAUAAGACUGGGAUAACUUCGGGAAACCGGAGCUAAUACCGGAUAAUAUAUUGAACCGCAUGGUUCAAUAGUGAAAGACGGUUUUGCUGUCACUUAUAGAUGGAUCCGCGCCGCAUUAGCUAGUUGGUAAGGUAACGCCUUACCAAGGCAACGAUGCGUAGCCGACCUGAGAGGAUGAUCGGCCACACUGGAACUGAGACACGGUCCAGACUCCUACGGGAGGCAGCAGUGGGGAAUCUUCCGCAAUGGGCGAAAGCCUGACGGAGCAACGCCGCGUGAGUGAUGAAGGUCUUCGGAUCGUAAAGCUCUGUUGUUAGGGAAGAACAGAUGUAUAAGUAACUAUGCACGUCUUGACGGUACCUAAACAGAAAGCCACGGCUAACUACGUG
RNAcentral lists this ribosomal RNA (497 nucleotides) under uncultured bacterium. Its description in RNAcentral is "partial 16S ribosomal RNA". It matches the Rfam family "Bacterial small subunit ribosomal RNA", at positions 28 to 507 of the family's 1533-position model. The record is from RNAcentral.